Molecule: long non-coding RNA, 9051 nt
Organism: Felis catus (domestic cat)
Lineage: Eukaryota; Metazoa; Chordata; Mammalia; Carnivora; Felidae
Exons: 10
Source: RefSeq, a predicted model, not a curated record
ACACACACAUUCUGUUGGUUCUGUUUCUAUGGAGAACCCUGAUACAGAAUGUUGGCAGGGGAAGGGUUUCCAACCUGGGUUGUUGCUUGUUUUCUUCUAAACUAACAAAAUUAAAUAUAUCUCACCACUGUGAGAAUUUAUUUCCUUCAAUGUUAUAAAAAAAGAUGACUAUUCCCUACAUACACAAAAUUCUGACUUUACUCCUUGUCGAUCAUAACUUUAUUCUUAGGGUUCAAUUCCCUUCUGAUUCUAAGUUGCACCAUAAAGAUUUCUGGUAUUAAUUGACAUUGAAGGGUCCCAGCUCCAGAUAAGUGUUCUGUAAGCUCUAGGUUUUUCUCCUGCAAUGGUGGGUUAUAGGGGUGGUGAAGGGGUAGAAGGACCAGGGUGAAAAGAAGUCUCCUCACCUGCCACAACCUUUAGAGAGUGUUUGUGGUUAUGCACCCCGCCCCCCCCUCCCUCCCCAAAGAUUUAGACCUUCCCUAAGCACCAUGUAUUCUGGGAAACUGUUCUGGGCUCUGGGACUGGUUUGUUUCAGGCCAAACCUAGGAAUGGGGAUGAUGUAGACACAAGAAUAUUUUGAGCCAUUUGGUCUCAUUUAAUCUAGCAGAAUUUACACUCAAUUUGGGACUCAGAAGUGGAAGAUUCUGUGUGUCCUAGAGAUGCCAAGUUUUGUACAAAUGGCAUCACUGACAUAUAGAUCUUGACUCGCCCUUGAGGAUCCCUGAGAGCAUGUAAGAAAGAUCUCAGUAGCCAGACUUGGAAAAGGAGAGGAAGUGAGAGGGGAUAUCACCCUGUUGGCGUGUCAGGCAAUCUAAACUCUGGUGUUUUCACAGCAGUUGAGGCUGGGAUUUUCGUCUUCCUAUCACAUUAUUUUGCAAAUAUUCCAUGGAGCGUUUGUUCUAAAUAUCCUUUGAUUUGGCAGAGACACCUCUGCAUCACGAGGAACUGGCAGCUGGAAGAACUGAAGGAACCCUGCAGCGGGGGCUGAUUUCUUCAAUGCUCAUAAAUUCUGCAUGCUGUGGAAACAACAAAAUGCAUAACAAACACACACUCUGAGAAUCUUCUUAGGAACCCUUUUCAGUCUGUGCUUCUGCAGAGAACAGGGGCAUCAUCUGAAAAGUAAAUAAUCACCUGGGGUCCUAAACCCACAAUGGGUGAAUGAGAGACUGAUGGGCUUGACUCUCCAAAUUUGGGUCUCACUCCCUGGAUUCCACCGGCAAAAGCCAAGUGUGCAGGGGGGUGAAUGGCGGCAGGAGAGAGAAGGAAGAAGAAAGUGGUAAUGCCAGUCUCCCAGUGGAGCCACUACUCUUCUUCGGGAAAAGAAGCCGGCACAAAGAAGGUGACAGCCAAAGUGAGCCGCCGUGACACGGAGGCUCCUGAGCUGGCCACUCCUUGGUUCGAGUCCGAGCCACGUGACUAGAGGUUUACCAGCCACGUGACUAGAGAAUCUCUUCCCACGCGCUACUGAACCUGGAUGUUCUUCAGCUGAUUACCACGAGUGGUGAGAAAUGCAUCUGCAUUUGCAAAAGCCAAAUAGACUGCAGUUGGGUAGAGCUGCGAUCAAGGUCUGAUAAACGUGUCGAGGUGGCCGCACUAUCUGGUGCACAGCCCUCCUUAAAACCUGGCCGACUCAGUGGAAAGGUUCCCGCAGACAAAACGUCUGCCAUCCUUGGAGGGAAGCAGCCUUUCCAGCCAACCACAUAGGCCAGAGUCAACGUGAAAGAAAUGACAUGAUUAUGGAACGUUCCUGAUUGCAGAGCAGCACAUGUGUCUUUGAAGAAAGAGCUGCUUCUUUCCCCUCACAGUCUGACGUCAGAGGAGACGCCACGCCUCUCUGGAUGGCAAGCAAUGACAAGUUCUGACGAUGUGGGCCUGUGAGCGCGGGGGUCUACCCCGACUAGUUCCAAAGUGCAGAUGGAAUGGGUGUGUGCCCCAUCGGUGUCCGCUGGUUUUCACGGUGGCCUGGUGUGUGAGCGUGUCAUCCUCACCUUCAUGCCUCCUCAUUAUCAGAAAUAUAACCAAUGGAUCAGAAUUCCAGAGUCUCUAUCAAGUCUCAUGGCUUCACUUUGAGUUUGGAAGCAGGGCCUGGACCCUGGUGGAUGGAAUCGUUGUCUCUACAUCCAUCACUCUGCCUUCUGUCCUCACCCUUGCCACGGCCUCGCUGUGGGUGGAGUGUAACCCCUUGACUCUGCGUUCUGCCAUGUGACAUCCUUGGGCCAGUGAUACAUGGAUGGAAGUGAGGGGUUGCCAGUUCCAAGCUCAAGUCUUGAGAGCCCUUGGAUUUUCUGCUUUUUCCCUGUGUGUCAGAGAAGACCUUCUAGGUCUCUGGGCCCUGAGGUUUAUACUUGGGGGGCAGAGAUGAGCCAAGCCUCAGCGAGGGCCAAGAUAAGCUACGCCCCAAGCUUGAGACGGAGCCUGAACCAACCAGCGUCCGGCUGACGUGCAGACCCACGGACCUGCAGCUCUGAGAAAAAAGAAAACAGCCCCCAUGUUGUGAGCUAUGCUAUGGAGAGGCCCACGUGGGGAAGAGGCUGGUGAGGAAUCCUGAGUCAGAGGCACCAAGGGGCACCCAGCUAAGGUGUGCCAGUUUCCUGACCAAUAGGCACGCCACAGAUCACCAAGAAGUGUAAGUGGUGGCAGUCUGAGGCCUGCCAGCAGCCAUCAAUGUCAAGGAGCCAGCUUGGAAACAGACCAUUCAGCCCCGGUCAGGCCUUCAACUGAUUGCAACCCCGGCUGACAUCUUGACUGCAAAAUCAUGAGCAACUCGGAGCCAGAAGCACCGAUUCAAGCUUCCUCUGAAUUCCUGACCAGCAGAAAUUGUGAGCGAAUGCUGCAUCUGCCAGCCCAUGCAGACUUGGAGCUCUGCUCACUCGCUGAGGCUCACAGUGAACGGUCACGGCUGCCCUCAAGGAGUUCCCUAGACCCCAAGACCACUUGGAUUUCCAGCUCGGCUCCAUAUGUUCGCAUGCCUUUCAGAUUGACCCGUUUGGGUACAAGUAUCCACAUCUGUUUCAACCAUCUGUGGCCAAAGGCAAAAUCACAUUGUAUGAUGAACUGCCCCUUAAAGAUUUUGAGUGGGACAGUUUCUUCUUGUUGAAGUAUGAAAGAGAAGAAAAUGAUUGCACAUACAUCUUGAGUCCCUCCAAAGGCCGAAAAUGCCUCUAGAGUCAGGAGGGCAUUCGUGGGGUUGAUUCUGGAGACAGCAGCAUUUCAAGGCCUCACAACCUUCUAGGUAGGCGGGCUAUGUGGUUUCCAUAGAAGACAUCUGAGUCAAUACUAAUGUCUGUUGGGAGCCUACUUUUAUUAGGAAGGCAUUUAUUUAUUCAUUACUGAGGAAACCCAACAAUUUCCUAUAGUUCCAUUCUGAUUUUAAUUAGAAUAUUAAUCAGCUAUGCUCUGCACAAUUUUGGCUAAAAAUCCACAAUGCAAUAUACUAAAAUUCCUAGGAACAGAGCCAAUUUAAUUUGUAUUAGAUAUUUUGCCCCAGGUUAGCAUUAGGAACUUAUUAUUGCAUGUCUCAUGCAGCUAUUAUUAUUAUAAAUGUGCGUAUUGUGCAAAUUAAAAUCAUAUUUUAUUCAGGGAAAAACCUCUCUGUUUGCUUGAUUCCUAGUGACUGUGUUUCUGUUCCUGAGAGAAUUCAGUACUUGUGACAUCUCUCAUGGUAGGUCUAGCAAGGAAAUGCCUUUGGGAUGUUCAGCCACUUACCACUUCUGGAAGGACAUAGUUUACCCACCGCUUCAAUGGCUGCACUGAGGACACAGAGGAACACCAGAUGAUGGCAAGCACUGUGUCUUUGUUUAAGGAGUUUUUAGCAUCUACGAUAAUGUAUGACAGAUAUAAUGGGGAAGUACAGGAUGCUAUGAUAUACUCAGUGGGGGGCCUUAGCCUUGUUGAGGGAGUCAGGAAAGACCCUCCAAGAGGCUAGGAUGUGCAAUCCAAUUACUUAACCUGACAAUUAGCAGAAGUUGGGAGGAUGGGGUAGGUAUGAGAAGAGUGAACCAAAGUUCAGUGUGGCUGUAUUAUAGAGGGUGCAGUGAGGAUUGGCAAGACCAGAACUGGAGAACUAGAGUGGGGUCAGGUAAUGGAGAAUGUUGAAGCCACGGUAUGGAAUUUACCAUAAGGAGCAAUGGGAAGCCAAUGAGGCCCUUAGUAGAAGAGUAGUAUGAGGAGGUCUGCAUUUUAGUAGAAUCCCUCUAGCUAAGAAGUGGAGCAUGGGUUGGAAGGAAAUAACAGUAGAAGCAAAGACAUUAGUUAGGAAAUCAUUUCCAUCAUGCAGACAAAAGAAGAUCAUGGCCUGGUCUAUGGGAGUAUCUGUGGAAAUGGAGAGAAGUGGAUGGAUCAUUUGGGAGGUGAAAUUGAUAGGUGGUGACGAUGACUUAGAUAGGCAAGUGAGAAGAGUGACGGACCAAGGGAGAAUUCCAGGUUUGCUUGAAACAUCUUGGUGGAUGAUGGUGACAGUUACUGAGAUGAGAAAUAUGGAAGGCAAAGCAUUUUUAUUUUGGGGGGGGGGGCAGGUGCUGGGGAGAAGAAAGGUGAUGAGUUCAAAUUUGAACAUGUUGAGUUUGAAGGCCUGGAAGAUCCAUAGGUGGUGCUGUCUUGGAGGUGAGUGGAUACACGGGGCUGCUUUUCAGGAAAAGAGACCUGGAGGGAGAUAAAGACUGAGAAAUCUCAACACAGGGAUGGUCUUUGAAGCUAUGGAUUUUGUUGGCGUAUUCCAGGAAAGCAUAUCCCUUGAGAAAAGAAGAUGCAAGACCCAGCCUUGAGCAACCACCUGAGGGCAGGGAAAAGAAGCGCAUGCAAAGGAGACUAAGAAGAAGGGUGAAGAGUGGCUGGAGAGAAACCAGGAAGCACUGGAACCACCUGUGCUUAGAGAAAUGUGUCGUAGACCUGAGAGGGCAGUCAACAGUUUCACAUGCUGCUGAGGACUCAAAUAACACGGUGCCCCAGAGAGCUGAACUCAGUCCCAUAUGGCUACAACCUCAGAGUACAGUAGCCAAAGGUCUUAGCCCCCAUUCACCCCUGCAUACUUACAUUCAACUUCUUGUCCUUCUUCUCUCUUUUUGAGCUUACAUGUAUUUUCAUAAUGAAAAGAAACAUAUCCAGUAUCAAAUGUUCAGUGUAGUGAGUGGGUUUCCACUUGAACUCUUUGUCAUUUUGAUUAGAAAUCUUCAUCUAGAGAUAUAUAAUCAUUGCUUUUCUGUGCUCACUGUGUUCACCAUCACAUAAAUGUUCAUAUUUAUUUGGUAGCUGCAUUAAAGUAGCUGUUCUCAGAUGAGGUCCCUGGUACAAAAUCAAUAACCUCACCUGAUGUGAUAAGCAGAAUUCCAAGACGACCCCUACAUUCCUGACUCCCCGGUGUACAUGCUGUCUAUAAUUCCCUCCCUUUGAGUGUGACUGGCACUUCUAAAUAUAAUGAGAUAUCCCUUCCACGAUUAUGUUAAUAAGAAAAAGGGAUUUUUCAGAUAUAAUUAUGGUAUCUAGUCAGUCAACUUUGAGUUGAUCAGAAGGGAGAUUAUUUGGGUGGGCCUGACAUAAUCAAUUAAGUCCUUUGGAGCAUCUGGGUGGCUCAGUCUGUUAAGUGUCUGACUCUUGAUUUCGGCUCAGGUCAUGAUCUCACGGUUCAUGGGUUCGAGCCCCGUGUUGAGCUCUGUGCUGAUGGUGUGGAGCCGCUUAGGAUUCUGUCUCCCUCUCUCUGCCCACUCUCUCUCUCUCUCUCUCGAAAUAAAUAAACUUAAAAAAAAUUAAGUCCUUAGAAUUAAAUUUUUCCUCAGGAAGGAAACCUUCUCUGGCCAAACAAAUUCAACGCAUGAAAGAAAUUUCUCUUGUUGGCCUUGAAAUGAAGAGAAUUGUGGGAAGGGCCAUGGAGAGGCUACGUGGCAAAGGACCUGAAGGUGACGUCCAGUCCCUGGAUAACAGCCAGCAAGACAGGGGGCCCUUGACUCUACACCCACGAGGAGGUGUAUUCUGCUGUCACCCACCACAUGAGCUUGGAAGACGACUCUUUGUUACAGAAUGGAAUGCAGUCCAGCUGACACCUUCAUACCACUGUGCCAACGGCCAAUGCUGUUGCGGGCUGUCCUUGCAGGUUGGGGCCCAUAAGUCAUGCCCCAGUGGGUUCUGGAUGCAGAGAGUUCCCUGCCUUGCUCAGCCUCCGCUGUGUACAUCUCCUUAUUGUCCUCUCCUCCUACAGUCCCUGCCUGGAUCCCUGGUGAUCCCCCGUCACCAGCACAAGCGUAGCCAAGGUCCUAGUUUCCACCAAGAAGUCUGAAAAAAGAAUCCAGUGGCCUCUGGUCGCUCAGUACAGGCAUGGGCCCUGAGGAAAAUUAGCCCCAGCCAUGAACAAAACCCACUGGAAGGAGGGAAGGACAGUGUAAUUCAUUUAACCCCUCCCGGCCUCAGUCCCCCCAUGGAAAAUGAGGGAACAAGAAUGGUCCUUGAUUUGGUGUGGGCUCAAACCUGACCCUGUUCUUCCAGCUGUGACCCUUGGGCCAGCCCCUUCCCUGCUCUGAGCCUCACACCCCUCACCAGGUUCUGAGCGGCAAGGAGGGAGAUGUAAACCAAAGGGCACAUGGAAGUUAUGGGCAAAGAGCCCUGUGGAGGUGGGUGGCUGUUCUUCCAGAAUCUAAUUUUAUUUGACUCCCAUGGUUUCUCCAGCCACCGUGACAUUUUGGCAACACGGCGGUUCAGGAGCGGGGCUCUGGGGCCAGACGGCUGUGUUGAAUCCUGGCUCCGCUAAUCCCCAGCCGGGGGAUCUCAGCCAGUAGCUCAACCUGCGUGCUCCCCGCUGUCCUCACCCGUAAGUGGGUCGGUAAUAGAACCAUCUCAGCGGUCACGGUGAGGAGUCAGUGAGUUAGUACACGUAAAGGCUUCAGGCUGUUCCCAGUAAUAAUCCCUGCCCUCAGAAGAUGCUACUCUUGUGGGGCGCAGGCGGGAAUAAUGACCAGGGAGGCAUCUAGGGUGCAGGGAAUAAGCUGUUUCCUGAUCUGGGAUGUAGCUUUACAGGUGUAUUCUGUAUAUAAAAGCUCAUCGACCCGUGUGUGGAAGAUACGUGCACUUUCUCUAUAUCAUGCCUCCCAGAAAGGUGUUUUUUGUUUGUUUGUUUUAAUUAGUGCUUGGGAAUGAGCAAAAUUCCUAGGAAAACUCCAGGCUUUCACAGGCUGUGGAAUUUGAUGUGGUAUAAGGCAGAUCAAAAGGCUUGUAAAGGGCUUCCUAGGUUACGGGAACCCAGCUUGUCUGGGUUAUAGGUUGAAUAAAUAGAGAAUUACACUAAGGUAUUGAUGUGAUGUGAAGACAGGACAAGGGUGGCAAGUAGGAAGUCCCAGAGAAGUUGGGAGACAUCUAGAAGCUCAGGAGGUGGUGGGACCUCUGAGGCUCUGUGGUAGGGGUGGAGUCCCCUCCCCCACCCUUGGGUACCCUUUGUGACUAGUCACUCUGUGAUGCAGGCGUGGAACACUCUAGAACAGAGCACACAUCUCACUGCCCAUUGCCUAAGACAGCAGUGUGCUUCAGGUGGUGAAAAACUAUCUCCUCUUUCUGGGGACAGUGAGACAUGGGGUUCAAUUCCAUUUUCUAUUUUUAGGGUAUGGUUGGGCUCCUCCCUCUAUCAUUCUUCUUCCUAGAGGGAAGCCAAUUGCUACCUGUCUUCGGAAUAAAGGAGACAUUGGAAAGGUAAGGGAGUCAAGGCCCAGAUCUAUCGAGAUCGACUUUUGAUUUUCCUGCUCCUGUCUCCAAGUUUGCAGAUAAAUUCUGUUGGCACCAAGGGACAUCUGACAUGAGAACACUUAAGAGAGAAUAAAACUAUCAUGUAGGAAUGGUUUAGAAUGCUGACUGAGCUUUCCAACUCAUAGACCAUCUUUCUUGGUCUGAAUGAAGAUUUUCUUGGUAAAAUUCCAAAUGCAGUGAUUCAGUGACCAUGGAUUGGAUCAAGGGAGUUCAGGACACAUGAUGAAUAGUGUGCUCUAGGUUUUGCUCAUCAGCUGCCUUCCUAUCUUUGGUAUCCCUGGAAUAAGUGUUUCCUUUGUAUUAGGGACAAUCUCAAGAGCAAUGUUGAACUUCUGAAAGCCUCUGGAGAGAUGUCAGAGCCCUCUCUCUGUUAAGGAGCAGAAUUCUGAUGGAGCACCAAGCAAUUGUAGGCCUGAGACUUUGUGCCCCUCUUCAUCUGAGGACCACCAACUCAAAUAUCAAUUGAGAGUCAUGUUAAAAAAACUUUUCUUUGAGUUUUUCAAAAAGGAAAAAGAAGAAUCCACUUUAAAGGUGAAUGUCUUAUUCCAGACAAUAUGAUGCAUUUCUCCCUCUGCUUUCUACUAAAUACAGCUGCAAACUCUGGACAUUGUAAACAUAUGAAGGCUCUGAAAGAUAUAGAGAAGGUUGUGGGUCAGCUGGAGACCUCAUGAGUCGAGGAACAAUGUGGCUGAAACAACAACAAAAUGAAACACUCGGUGGAAUGCGGAAUGUCAAUUCUGUGAGGAUAACCAUGAAUUUUGCAGCGAGUUUUUUUCACUGCAGCGGGAGGCUCCACCACAGGAGUGGUCGCUGCGGAGAUUUGGAAGGGCCACCAUAACGAAGCACCACAGACUGGGAGGCUUGAACAACAGAAAUGUAUUUUCCUCACAGUUCUGGAGGCUGGUAGUCCAACAUCAUGGCAUCAGUAAAGAACUUCAAAGCGAGUAGACAACGUUGAACAUUUUCCAAGAUCCUCGAGGGGCCUGGUCCGGGAUUUCUCGUUCAGGAAAAUGCACAUCAUCUUAACCAAGUCUGUCCAGUGGGAACUUCAUACCCUGUCUUUGAAGCCCAGUGUGUAUUUUACAUUAACAGCACAUCUUCAUCCACUGCUAAAAACUCAUUGGAAGCUGCUGAUCCGUAUUUCAAUACGGAUGCGAGUUGGCCAGAAUAGCUUCAUACUCGUCAUUUCAAGCAUACGUAAGGAGUGCCUGCGUGGCUCCGUCGGUUAAGCAUCCGACUUCGGCUCGGGUCUUGGAACUCACAGCUCGUGGGUUCGAGCCCUGCAUUGGGCUCUGUGGAGUCUGCUUCGGAUUCUGUGUCUCCCUCUGU